UUUGUCAUCAGGUGUGGAUUAACCAGACAACACUGAGUUUCUACAAGUACCAAAUCCAGGGUCAGGCGCUGGGAUAGGCAUCGUUCAAGGAGGAGGUUCAAGCUGGAGAGGCCAGCUGGCCAGAGAGAAGAGAGGGGCAUAGCAGGAGGAAAGGGACUGGACGGGGGAAGGUCCUUGCCGUCCAGGGUGAAAGGGACCACAGGCUCCCACGGACCGGCUCCCUUUUCCUCCCCAUCACGUAACCCUGCGAGCAAGAUGUUCUCCGGUACAGGGGUGGGCGUCUGUUCAUGACGUGGUCCUGGGGGUGUUUCUGGUGUCGCUGAGGAACUCAGAGAGACAGAGGGAAUUUUCAAGCUAUGCUUUUAGGAAAAUAUAAACGUCAACUGAUUUGGUUUCUGACUCUCAGCCCUCGACAAGUGCCAUCACCUAUUUUGUUACCUUCAACCACAACUACGUCUUGAUUAUGAGAGGCUCCCUGUGACAUUUGAAGUUCUUGCUUGCAUGGCAGAUGCUCAACACAUUGAAAUCACUUCUUUGCUCCCGUUUACCUACCUCACAGUUGAAGUUCUGGAAAAUUUGGAGAGAAUGUCUUCCCGGGAAACCUUACCCACUUCCCAAACAGCUCCGUGUGUCCUCAGCAGACCCCAUCUUGAAGCAAAUCGGUCCACUGGCGGUCGCUUCUCUGCUUGCAUUUGACCUUCAUGGUUAUUCUCACGACUGGCUGUGUCCUCCGCUGUGAUCAGUUGACUUUAUAGCACAAUCAAUUAAUUAAUUUUUCAAGAAGUAUUUAAGGAGCACCAGCUAAGUUUAUGACGGAUUUCACAGGGAAUCAGAAGGAAAUGCGACAGACCAAACCAGACAAAAAUCCGUUGCAUUUUCUGAAACGUAACCAUCGAAGACUGUUAGCGGUGCCGAGUAAGUUUUAUGAAGAUUCUGUUCUCACAAGACUAUUAUUUUGACUUUGGGAGUCCUCCCUUCAGGUGGCCGGGCUACCUUGCAGUGAGGGCGAGACCCCUUGACUGAAUCGUUGGUUCGAGAAGCCGUCUGCUCAAGCUGUCAGAGAAGAACGCAUAAGCGGAGGAAUAAACACACGAUAAUUAAAUGUUUUUCUCA
Molecule: long non-coding RNA, 1113 nt
Filed under: Felis catus (domestic cat)
Lineage: Eukaryota; Metazoa; Chordata; Mammalia; Carnivora; Felidae
Description: lncRNA (ENSFCAG00000050000.1)
Source: RNAcentral